GAUGAACGCUGGCGGCGUGCCUAAUACAUGCAAGUCGAGCGAACAGACGAGGAGCUUGCUCCUCUGACGUUAGCGGCGGACGGGUGAGUAACACGUGGAUAACCUACCUAUAAGACUGGGAUAACUUCGGGAAACCGGAGCUAAUACCGGAUAAUAUAUUGAACCGCAUGGUUCAAUAGUGAAAGACGGUUUUGCUGUCACUUAUAGAUGGAUCCGCGCCGAAUUAGCUAGUUGGUAAGGUAACGGCUUACCAAGGCAACGAUGCGUAGCCGACCUGAGAGGGUGAUCGGCCACACUGGAACGGAGACAGGGCCCAGACUCCUACGGGAGGCAGAAGUAGGGAAUCUUCCGCAAUGGGCGAAAGCCUGACGGAGCAACGCCGCGUGAGUGAUGAAGGUCUUCGGAUCGUAAAACUCUGUUAUUAGGGAAGAACAAAUGUGUAAGUAACUAUGCACGUCUUGACGGUACCUAAUCAGAAAGCCACGGCUAACUACGUG
RNAcentral lists this ribosomal RNA (497 nucleotides) under uncultured bacterium. RNAcentral describes it as "partial 16S ribosomal RNA". It matches the Rfam family "Bacterial small subunit ribosomal RNA", at positions 28 to 507 of the family's 1533-position model. The record is from RNAcentral.